Molecule: ribosomal RNA, 433 nt
Filed under: uncultured bacterium
Lineage: Bacteria
Description: bacterial SSU rRNA
Rfam family: Bacterial small subunit ribosomal RNA
Source: RNAcentral
UGGGGGAUAUUGCACAAUGGGGGAAACCCUGAUGCAGCGACGCCGCGUGAGUGAAGAAGUAUUUCGGUAUGUAAAGCUCUAUCAGCAGGGAAGAAAUACUGACCGCAAGGUCAGCAGACAGUACCUGAGUAAGAAGCCCCGGCUAACUACGUGCCAGCAGCCGCGGUAAUACGUAGGGGGCAAGCGUUAUCCGGAUUUACUGGGUGUAAAGGGAGCGUAGACGGCUUUGCAAGUCUGAAGUGAAAGCCCGGGGCCCAACCCCGGGCACUGCUUUGGAAACUGUGUAGCUAGAGUACAGGAGGGGCAGGCGGAAUUCCUGGUGUAGCGGUGAAAUGCGUAGAUAUCAGGAGGAACACCGGCGGCGAAGGCGGCCUGCUGGACUGAAACUGACGUUGAGGCUCGAAAGCGUGGGGAGCAAACAGGAUUAGAUACC